RNAcentral lists this long non-coding RNA (232 nucleotides) under Brassica rapa (field mustard). RNAcentral's name for it is "long non-coding RNA (BRAP_LNC004862)". The record is from RNAcentral. Lineage: Eukaryota; Viridiplantae; Streptophyta; Magnoliopsida; Brassicales; Brassicaceae.
AAAAGUAUGCUAUAAUGUAACUGAACAUUUUCUUAGGAUUUGGCUGAAAAUGAAGGUUCUUACUCUCUCGGACGUUUCGUUUCUGUGUCUUGUUGUGUUGUGUGUUUUGGAUUGUUUGUUCUUUAAUGCUUUUCUUGGAUCAAACGAAUGGUUCAGAUUCUUUGCUCUCGUAAUCUUUAUUCUCGUUUAUGUUGACUUAAAGUUAAAUGUAUUAGCUGAGAUUAGAGCUCGG